ACAGGAAUCUUCAAAUACAGGUGCAUGAUCUCAGCACAGAAGUGUAAAAUAAAACCCAUUCCACAGGCAUCAGUACUACUAACGCUAGCCUCAGUUCCCGCGUGCCGAUCCCCUACAACACGCAUGGUGGGUUUCACUCCAUUCUACCUCGAGAUGUAGGCUUCCUCACGCUCAUUCAACAAACAAGCAAAC
Molecule: long non-coding RNA, 192 nt
Filed under: Fukomys damarensis (Damara mole-rat)
Lineage: Eukaryota; Metazoa; Chordata; Mammalia; Rodentia; Bathyergidae
Description: lncRNA (ENSFDAG00000026841.1)
Source: RNAcentral